Molecule: ribosomal RNA, 406 nt
Filed under: uncultured bacterium
Lineage: Bacteria
Description: bacterial SSU rRNA
Rfam family: Bacterial small subunit ribosomal RNA
Source: RNAcentral
GUGGGGAAUAUUGCACAAUGGAGGAAACUCUGAUGCAGCGACGCCGCGUGAGUGAAGAAGUAAUUCGUUAUGUAAAGCUCUAUCAGCAGGGAAGAAAAAGGACGGUACCUGACUAAGAAGCACCGGCUAAAUACGUGCCAGCAGCCGCGGUAAUACGUAUGGUGCAAGCGUUAUCCGGAUUUACUGGGUGUAAAGGGAGAGUAGGUGGCAUGGCAAGUCAGAAGUGAAAGCCCGGGGCUCAACCCCGGGACUGCUUUUGAAACUGUCAGGCUGGAGUGCAGGAGAGGUAAGUGGAAUUCCUAGUGUAGCGGUGAAAUGCGUAGAUAUUAGGAGGAACACCAGUGGCGAAGGCGGCUUACUGGACUGUAACUGACACUGAGGCUCGAAAGCGUGGGGAGCAAACAGG